RNAcentral lists this ribosomal RNA (292 nucleotides) under uncultured bacterium. RNAcentral describes it as "partial 16S ribosomal RNA". It matches the Rfam family "Bacterial small subunit ribosomal RNA", at positions 505 to 796 of the family's 1533-position model. The record is from RNAcentral.
GUGUCAGCAGCCGCGGUAAUACGAAGGGUGCAAACGUUAUUCGGAAUCACUGGGCGUAAAGGGUGCGUAGAUGGUAUGUUAAGUUCGUUGUUAAAGGCUCCGGCCUAACUGGAGUAUUGCGAUGAAAACUGGCGUACUAGAGGGUGAGAGAGAGAAGUGGAAUUCCCGGAGUAGCGGUAAAAUGCGUGGAUCUCGGGAGGAACACCAAUGGCGAAGGCAGCUUCUUGGCUCAUUCCUGACAUUGAGGCACGAAAGCGUGGGGAGCAAACAGGAUUAGAUACCCUGGUAGUCC